GAUGAACGCUGGCGGCGUGCCUAUACAUGCAAGUCGAGCGAACAGACGAGGAGCUUGCUCCUCUGACGUUAGCGGCGGACGGGUGAGUAACACGUGGAUAACCUACCUAUAAGACUGGGAUAACUUCGGGAAACCGGAGCUAAUACCGGAUAAUAUAUUGAACCGCAUGGUUCAAUAGUGAAAGACGGUUUUGCUGUCACUUAUAGAUGGAUCCGCGCCGCAUUAGCUAGUUGGUAAGGUAACGGCUUACCAAGGCAACGAUGCGUAGCCGACCUGAGAGGGUGAUCGGCCACACUGGAACUGAGACACGGUCCAGACUCCUACGGGAGGCAGCAGUAGGGAAUCUUCCGCAAAGGGCGAAAGCUUGACGGAGCAACGCCGCGUGAGUGAUGAAGGUCUUCGGAUCGUAAAACUCUGUUAUUAGGGAAGAACAAAUGUGUAAGUAACUAUGCACGUCUUGACGGUACCUAAUCAGAAAGCCACGGCUAACUACGUG
This 496-nucleotide ribosomal RNA is filed under the name uncultured bacterium. RNAcentral's name for it is "partial 16S ribosomal RNA". It matches the Rfam family "Bacterial small subunit ribosomal RNA", at positions 28 to 507 of the family's 1533-position model. The record is from RNAcentral.